Molecule: ribosomal RNA, 212 nt
Filed under: Klebsiella pneumoniae
Lineage: Bacteria; Pseudomonadati; Pseudomonadota; Gammaproteobacteria; Enterobacterales; Enterobacteriaceae
Also listed under: 1 other name
Description: partial 16S ribosomal RNA
Rfam family: Bacterial small subunit ribosomal RNA
Source: RNAcentral
ACUUAAAUUGAAGAGUUUGAUCAUGGCUCAGAUUGAACGCUGGCGGCAGGCCUAACACAUGCAAGUCGAGCGGUAGCACAGAGAGCUUGCUCUCGGGUGACGAGCGGCGGACGGGUGAGUAAUGUCUGGGAAACUGCCUGAUGGAGGGGGAUAACUACUGGAAACGGUAGCUAAUACCGCAUAACGUCGCAAGACCAAAGUGGGGGACCUUC